Molecule: ribosomal RNA, 492 nt
Filed under: uncultured bacterium
Lineage: Bacteria
Description: partial 16S ribosomal RNA
Rfam family: Bacterial small subunit ribosomal RNA
Source: RNAcentral
AGUGAACGCUGGCGGUAGGCCUAACACAUGCAAGUCGAACGGCAGCACAGUAAGAGCUUGCUCUUACGGGUGGCGAGUGGCGGACGGGUGAGGAAUACAUCGGAAUCUACUUUUUCGUGGGGGAUAACGUAGGGAAACUUACGCUAAUACCGCAUACGACCUACGGGUGAAAGCAGGGGAUCUUCGGACCUUGCGCGAUUGAAUGAGCCGAUGUCGGAUUAGCUAGUUGGCGGGUUAAAGGCCAACCAAGGCGACGAUCCGUAGCUGGUCUGAGAGGAUGGUCAGCCACACUGGAACGUAGACACGGUCAUGAGGCCUAAGGUAGGCAGCAGUGUGGAAUAUUAGACAAUGGGCGCGAGCCUGAUCCAGCCAUACCGCGUGGGUGGAGAAGGCCUUCGGGUUGUAAAGCCCUUUUUUUGGGAAAGAAAAGCAGCCGGUUAAUACCCCGCUGUUCUGACGGUACCCAAAGAAUAAGCACCGGCUAACUUCGUG